RNAcentral lists this ribosomal RNA (377 nucleotides) under uncultured bacterium. Its description in RNAcentral is "bacterial SSU rRNA". It matches the Rfam family "Bacterial small subunit ribosomal RNA", at positions 521 to 896 of the family's 1533-position model. The record is from RNAcentral.
UAAUACAGAGGUGUCAAACGUUGUCCGGAAUUAUUGGGCGUAAAGGGCGCGUAGGCGGCCGGGUAAGUGAGAUGUGAAAGCUCUGGGCUCAACCCAGGAAUUGCAUUUCAUACUGCUCGGCUAGAGAUUGGUAGAGGAUGGCGGAAUUCCAGGUGUAGCGGUGAAAUGCGUAGAUAUCUGGAGGAACACCUGUGGCGAAGGCGGCUAUCUGGUCCAAUUCUGACGCUGAGGCGCGAAAGGUAGGGGAGCAAACAGGAUUAGAUACCCUGGUAGUCCUACCCGUAAACGAUGAGUACUAGGUGUUGGAGGUAUUGACCCCUUCAGUGCCGUAGCUAACGCAAUAAGUACUCCGCCUGGGAACUACGGUCGCAAGACUG